UACGAAGGGGGCUAGCGUUGCUCGGAAUUACUGGGCGUAAAGCGCACGUAGGCGGCUUUGUAAGUUAGAGGUGAAAGCCCGGGGCUCAACUCCGGAAUUGCCUUUAAGACUGCAUCGCUAGAAUUGUGGAGAGGUAAGUGGAAUUCCGAGUGUAGAGGUGAAAUUCGUAGAUAUUCGGAAGAACACCAGUGGCGAAGGCGACUUACUGGACACAUAUUGACGCUGAGGUGCGAAAGCGUGGGGAGCAAAUAGG
Molecule: ribosomal RNA, 253 nt
Filed under: uncultured bacterium
Lineage: Bacteria
Description: partial 16S ribosomal RNA
Rfam family: Bacterial small subunit ribosomal RNA
Source: RNAcentral